GACGAACGCUUGCGACGUGCCUAAGAAAUGCAAGUCGAACGAGGUAGCAAUACCUAGUGGCGAACGGUCGCGUAACACGUGGGCAACCUGCCCCAGAGCGGGGGACAACAAUCCGAAAGGGUUGCUAAUACCGCAUGUGAAGGAGAGUGGCAUCACUUUCUUUUCAAAGCCUUGUGCACUCUGGGAUGGGCCCGCGGCCUAUCAGCUAGUUGGUGGGGUAACGGCCUACCAAGGCAUCGACGGGUAGCUGGUCUGAGAGGACGAUCAGCC
Molecule: ribosomal RNA, 270 nt
Filed under: uncultured bacterium
Lineage: Bacteria
Description: partial 16S ribosomal RNA
Rfam family: Bacterial small subunit ribosomal RNA
Source: RNAcentral